AACGAACGCUGGCGGCAUGCCUAACACAUGCAAGUCGAACGAAGCCUUCGGGCUUAGUGGCGCACGGGUGCGUAACGCGUGGGAAUCUGCCCUUUGGUUCGGAAUAACAGUUGGAAACGACUGCUAAUACCGGAUGAUGACGAAAGUCCAAAGAUUUAUCGCCAGAGGAUGAGCCCGCGUAGGAUUAGCUAGUUGGUGUGGUAAAGGCGCACCAAGGCGACGAUCCUUAGCUGGCCUGAGAGGAUGAUCAGCCACACUGGGACUGAGACACGGCCGAGACUCCUACGGGAGGCAGCAGGGGGGAAUAUUGGACAAUGGGGGAAAGCCUGAACCAGCAAUGCCGCGUGAGUGAUGAAGGCCCUAGGGUUGUAAAGGUCUUUUACCAGGGAUGAUAGUGACAGUACCGGGAGAAUAAGCCCCGGCUAACUCCGUGCCAGCCGCCGCCGUAA
Molecule: ribosomal RNA, 449 nt
Filed under: uncultured bacterium
Lineage: Bacteria
Description: partial 16S ribosomal RNA
Rfam family: Bacterial small subunit ribosomal RNA
Source: RNAcentral